RNAcentral lists this ribosomal RNA (513 nucleotides) under uncultured bacterium. RNAcentral's name for it is "partial 16S ribosomal RNA". It matches the Rfam family "Bacterial small subunit ribosomal RNA", at positions 28 to 523 of the family's 1533-position model. The record is from RNAcentral.
GAUGAACGCUGGCGGCGUGCCUAAUACAUGCAAGUCGAGCGAACGGAUAAGGAGCUUGCUCCUUUGAAGUUAGCGGCGGACGGGUGAGUAACACGUGGGUAACCUACCUAUAAGACUGGAAUAACUUCGGGAAACCGGAGCUAAUGCCGGAUAACAUUUGGAACUGCAUGGUUCUAAAGUAAAAGAUGGUUUUGCUAUCACUUAUAGAUGGACCCGCGCCGUAUUAGCCAGUUGGUAAGGUAACGGCUUACCAAGGCAACGAUACGUAGCCGACCUGAGAGGGUGAUCGGCCACACUGGAACUGAGACACGGUCCAGACUCCUACGGGAGGCAGCAGUAGGGAAUCUUCCGCAAUGGGCGAAAGUCUGACGGAGCAACGCCGCGUGAGUGAUGAAGGUUUUCGGAUCGUAAAACUCUGUUAUUAGGGAAGAACAAAUGUGUAAGUAACUGUGCACAUCUUGACGGUACCUAAUCAGAAAGCCACGGCUAACUACGUGCCAGCCGCCGCAGUAA